This 319-nucleotide ribosomal RNA is filed under the name Cryptonome conclava. Its description in RNAcentral is "partial 16S ribosomal RNA". It matches the Rfam family "Bacterial large subunit ribosomal RNA", at positions 1998 to 2528 of the family's 2925-position model. Lineage: Eukaryota; Metazoa; Annelida; Polychaeta; Eunicida; Amphinomidae. The record is from RNAcentral.
GAACUAACGUGAGCCCNACUGUCUCUUUUAUGAACACUUAACUUAACCUCUAGGUGAAAAGGCCUAGAUAAAACUAAUAGACAAGAAGACCCUAUCGAGCUUUAUUGCUNAGUCUCUAUUUAAACUAUUUCAAACCAUAAUAACUUUUUAUAGAACCUACGCCAUUUUGUUGGGGCAACAAAGGAACAACCAAAGCUUCCUAAUAACAAAAUAAAUAAACCAAUGACCCAAGAAACUGAUCAAAGGAAAAAUGCUACCGUAGGGAUAACAGGUUAAUUUUUCUCGAGAGCCCACAUCAACAGAAAAGUUUGGCACCUCG